CAGAAGUUACUGAAAAGUCUGCACAAGUUGAAGUAAUUACAGACGAAUCAUCGGUUCCUCUAGUUCAAGUUUCUCUUCAACAAGUACAAAAUAUUCCCGACAUAAUCGCUAGCUUUGAAAAUGAAAACAAAGCACAACAGACGGAAAAAGCUGGCAACGAACUCGCCGUUCAAGCUGGACCUGAUGUACCUGAAGGUUUCUUAGAGUAUGGACCCCCUGGAUUCGCUGAAUACGGACCCCCAAAAGGUGAACUAAAUGAAGAGGCUAAGGAGGAAAAGUCCGGGGAACAAUCUUUCGAAAUCACAAAUGAAACCAGGAGACGUCGUUUCUCACCGAAAUUUAAGUCAUCAAAGAAGCACUAAGGACUACUAACGAGGACUUCCACAGCAAAAAGACUACAAAACUUGGCAUGAUAGUUAAUUUAGAGUAACGCAAUAUAAAAUGUAAACUAUGAAAAAUAAUAAACGUGUAUAGAAUG
Molecule: long non-coding RNA, 478 nt
Organism: Melitaea cinxia (Glanville fritillary)
Lineage: Eukaryota; Metazoa; Arthropoda; Insecta; Lepidoptera; Nymphalidae
Exons: 5
Source: RefSeq, a predicted model, not a curated record